GAUGAACGCUAGCGAUAGGCUUAACACAUGCAAGUCGAGGGGCAGCACAAGGUAGCUUGCUAUCUGGGUGGCGACCGGCGCACGGGUGCGUAACGCGUAUGCAACUUGCCCUAUACAGGAGGAUAACCCGUCGAAAGACGGACUAAUACUGCGUAUGCUCACAACUUGGCAUCAAGUGGUGAGGAAAGAAAUUCGGUAUAGGAUAGGCAUGCGUCCCAUUAGCUUGUUGGUGAGGUAACGGCUCACCAAGGCAACGAUGGGUAGGGGAACUGAGAGGUUUCUCCCCCACACUGGUACUGAGACACGGACCAGACUCCUACGGGAGGCAGCAGUGAGGAAUAUUGGUCAAUGGGCGCGAGCCUGAACCAGCCAAGUCGCGUGAAGGAUGACUGUCUUAUGGAUUGUAAACUUCUUUUAUACGGGAAUAACAAGAGUCACGUGUGACUCCCUGCAUGUACCGUAUGAAUAAGCAUCGGCUAACUCCGUG
Molecule: ribosomal RNA, 487 nt
Filed under: uncultured bacterium
Lineage: Bacteria
Description: partial 16S ribosomal RNA
Rfam family: Bacterial small subunit ribosomal RNA
Source: RNAcentral